AGUCCUUAAAAGAGUUUUUACAAAAAUCCAAAAAAAAC
RNAcentral lists this small RNA (38 nucleotides) under Arabidopsis thaliana (thale cress). RNAcentral describes it as "ATSL119920". Lineage: Eukaryota; Viridiplantae; Streptophyta; Magnoliopsida; Brassicales; Brassicaceae. The record is from RNAcentral.